AAUAUUGGGACAUAUAAAAAAAGACAACUAUGUUCCGCAGGGUAGCUGUUGACAUUAUAGUUGCGCAGGCACUUUGUUGACUCUAGAGAACCUCGUGACAAUCGCACAUCCCCAUGACGGCGACACUGCAUUCGGAUGUCAUCCAUAUCAACUUUCGAUGCCAGUUUCAGUUCCUACCAUGGUGACCACGGGUAACAGGGAAUCAUGGUUCUAUUCCGUACAGGGACCCUGAGAAACGGCUACCACAUGCAAGGAAUGCAGCAGGCGUGCAAAUGACCCCCUCCCGACGCAGGAAGUUAGUGA
This is a non-coding RNA of Pelobates cultripes (western spadefoot toad), 303 nucleotides long. The record is from the annotation of a GenBank genome assembly. NCBI's taxonomy places the organism in Eukaryota, Metazoa, Chordata, Amphibia, Anura, Pelobatidae.